Coturnix japonica (Japanese quail) is the source of this 2089-nucleotide non-coding RNA. Lineage: Eukaryota; Metazoa; Chordata; Aves; Galliformes; Phasianidae. The record is from RefSeq and is a predicted model, not a curated record.
UCUGCAGACUGAGCUCUCCUCUCUGUACUUGGUUGAACAGUUCAUUUCAAGACAAAUUAUCUACAGUUACCACUUCUUUCAGGCACCAAGUUCAAGAGCAGUGAAACCUUAGGUUCCCCUCCCAAGCCAUGGAAAAGAAAGCUUUCUGUCAGUACAGGUCAACAGAGAAGGUCCAUUCGCUAUUGUCCUGUCCAUUUUCUUCCCAGUACUUGAAUCAUUAAGGUUGGAGAUCUCUAAGAACAUCUAGGUCAGUUAUUGAUGUUUCCCCACCAUGCCCACUGAAAACCAUAUCCCUCAGUACCACAACCACAUACCUCCUGAACACUUCCAGGGACAGUGACUCAGCAGCCUCCUUCCUUGGGACAACUUGUUCUAAUGCAUUACCACUAUUUCUAAGAAAAUACUUUUCUUAAUAUCCAACCUGAACAUCCUCUGCUACAGCUUGAAGAUUUUACCUCUCAUCAUACUACUACUAUCUGGGAGAAGAGUCUGAAACUCACCUUACUAUGACCUCCUUUCAGGAAGUUAUACAGAGCAAUUUGCAUUUCUGUGUCAGGUUCCAUUUUGUUAGACUGCCCCUCUCCUGCUAUCCAUUGCAUGGUGACAAAACGUAAUGAAAAACUGGUGGGAAGGUUAAGCCUCUACUGACAUGUCAUCAGUGUCUGCCUCUGAAAUUGCAGGUAAACAUAAUAAAGAAUAAUUAUUUUCAGAGCACUCUUUGUAAUUAGCUAACUUCCUGGUCCUUCCUAUAAGCAUAGCCAAUGCACAAUGCUUUCCCUCCUACAGGAUGAUGCCAGUGAACUGGCUUUUGUUAUGCAGGCUGUCUGGAUGAGUGUGACAGUUAUGGCUUUUUACAGCUAUACUGGAUAUCUUUGAGAUAAAAUAUACAUAAACACACACUAUUUUACAAAGUCUUCUCUUGUCUAUAAAGUUCCUUGUCUGAAGAAUGGGCCAAAUAGCCUUAACUUGCCUAAACAAAGGCCAGACUAUCUCAAUUUCCUUUCCUUCAAAACUUCCUUUUGCCAAGACAAAUUUUUGCUUCACAUUAUGCACUUUCUUCAGGGCUUUAAAUAGUGUUGAGUCCACAAUUCUUGACAUCUUAACUGAACUAAAUUUAGGUUUUUGGUAUUGCUUUUGUUUUACCACAAAUAUUACCCAUAUGAAUGGCUUUGGAAAGCUGUUUGAAGUUUUUAAAUCUUGAAAGUGGUUGUGGCUGAGAUGAAUUUGUGAACAAAAGACAGGAGAAACAAUCAAUAGCACAUGAUGAGUUCAAUUUAUCAUGGUGCUACCUGCACAACAUAGUUGGGAUGCAAUUGCAUAUAUCAAGAAACAUAUCACAUUAUUUCUUUAGGCUUGUUUUCUCCCUAUGCAACAUUCACUAGAUUCUCUACCUUUUGCUGUUUCUCUGCUCAUAAUUGAGGUUAUUAUUAAUAAUUGAUUUUCCCUCCCUUAAGCAUGUAUCUGCCAGGCUUGAGGGCCAAAGCAUUCAAUAAACCAGUCCUCCAAAAAUUAAAGAACCUUUUGUCAUUUAUUAUCUUAUUUGAAUCUUCAUUGCACAUAAUUCUAAACUUCACUGAACAUCCCUCACCUUAGAAAACUUCAAAAUCUCUGACAUUACAAAAAAAAUAUUUUCAUAAAAAGGAAAAAGUGAAUGGCAUAGUGCCUUCAGUGAUUCCUUGCUAAGUUGUUAUUAUUACUUUUGAUAUAGAUAUCACAUAUACAUAUUAUCAAGAGCACAGUUGUCUCUCAGUGAGCACUGAGAAGCAGAUUAGAAGUAGUGGGUAGUGCCAGUUUGAAAAGGAUAUACAGGGUCAAACCACCAUCCAGUAUGACCAGACAAGUAUCUCAUCCCAAACUUGCAUACUUAUUAUAUAAUACUAGGAAGGUUCUUUUGUGAUUUGAAUUUCUAAAAUUUUACAUGAAAAAUUAAAUUAUGUUCAAUUUAAAUUUUACUAAGAGCCCUCACUGUUACUGCUCAUCUUCUGUUCCAUGAACCAACUCUGAAAAAAAGAUAUUAUUAAAGACAGAAUGUGAUUCAAAUAUAUAAUACUGUUACUAUUUAAUUUCUUUCUGUGGAUUUUGCUUCUAU